Molecule: ribosomal RNA, 497 nt
Filed under: uncultured bacterium
Lineage: Bacteria
Description: partial 16S ribosomal RNA
Rfam family: Bacterial small subunit ribosomal RNA
Source: RNAcentral
GAUGAACGCUGGCGGCGUGCCUAAUACAUGCAAGUCGAGCGAACAGACGAGGAGCUUGCUCCUCUGACGUUAGCGGCGGACGGGUGAGUAACACGUGGAUAACCUACCUAUAAGACUGGGAUAACUUCGGGAAACCGGAGCUAAUACCGGAUAAUAUAUUGAACCGCAUGGUUCAAUAGUGAAAGACGGUUUUGCUGUCACUUAUAGAUGGAUCCGCGCCGCAUUAGCUAGUUGGUAAGGUAACGGCUUACCAAGGCAACGAGGCGUAGCCGACCUGAGAGGGUGAUCGGCCACACUGGAGCUGGGACGCGGUCCAGACUCCUACGGGAGGCAGCAGUAGGGAAUCUUCCGCAAUGGGCGAAAGCCUGACGGAGCAGCGCCGCGUGAGUGAUGAAGGUCUUCGGAUCGUAAAACUCUGUUAUUAGGGAAGAACAAAUGUGUAAGUAACUAUGCACGUCUUGACGGUACCUAAUCAGAAAGCCACGGCUAACUACGUG